RNAcentral lists this ribosomal RNA (315 nucleotides) under Triticum aestivum (bread wheat). RNAcentral describes it as "partial small subunit ribosomal RNA". The record is from RNAcentral. Lineage: Eukaryota; Viridiplantae; Streptophyta; Magnoliopsida; Poales; Poaceae.
AUGCAGGAAGUCGAGCAGCAGGAAGACAGGCUUAGUAAGCUGCCGGAUGACAUUCUUGUGUCCGUUCUAGAUCGUCUCGACGUGCGAGGCGCCGCAAGAAGCAGCAUCUUAAGCAAACGGUGGAGGCAUCUCCCUCUCUCGAUCAGUCGCAUCACCUUAGACGUUAAGCGCCACAAGCUUAAAGACGACGGCUCCAAGUCCGCUCUAUCCAAGAAGGCUCAGACCAACCUGUCCGUGGCAGAAGCAGCAAGGAGCCUGUUGGCACGCAGGGACCAGCAGCAGGCCGCCGCGUCCUCUACCUGCGAUUCUACCUGA